UACGAAGGGGGGCUAGCGUUGUUCGGAUUUACUGGGCGUAAAGCGCACGUAGGCGGAUCGUUAAGUCGGGGGGUGAAAUCCUGGAGCUCAACUCCAGAACUGCCUUCGAUACUGGCGAUCUUGAGUCCGGAAGAGGCGAGUGGAAUUCCUGGUGUAGCGGUGAAAUGCGCAGAUAUCAGGAGGAACACCAAUUGCGAAGGCAGCUCGCUGGGACGUUACUGACGCUGAGACGCGAAAGCGUGGGGAGCAAACAGG
RNAcentral lists this ribosomal RNA (255 nucleotides) under uncultured bacterium. Its description in RNAcentral is "partial 16S ribosomal RNA". It matches the Rfam family "Bacterial small subunit ribosomal RNA", at positions 524 to 776 of the family's 1533-position model. The record is from RNAcentral.